Molecule: ribosomal RNA, 482 nt
Filed under: uncultured bacterium
Lineage: Bacteria
Description: bacterial SSU rRNA
Rfam family: Bacterial small subunit ribosomal RNA
Source: RNAcentral
UUGAACGCUGGCGGAAUGCUUUACACAUGCAAGUCGAGCGGCAGCGCGGGGGCAACCCUGGCGGCGAGCGGCGAACGGGUGAGUAAUGUAUCGGAACGUACCCUGUCGUGGGGGAUAACACAGCGAAAGCUGUGCUAAUACCGCAUACGACCUGAGGGUGAAAGCGGGGGAUCGCAAGACCUCGCGCGAUAGGAGCGGCCGAUGUCGGAUUAGCUAGUUGGUGAGGUAAAGGCUCACCAAGGCGACGAUCCGUAGCGGGUCUGAGAGGAUGAUCCGCCACACUGGGACUGAGACACGGCCCAGACUCCUACGGGAGGCAGCAGUGGGGAAUUUUGGACAAUGGGCGCAAGCCUGAUCCAGCCAUGCCGCGUGAGUGAAGAAGGCCUUCGGGUUGUAAAGCUCUUUCGGCGGGGAAGAAAUCGCACUGGUUAAUACCUGGUGUGGAUGACGGUACCCGAAUAAGAAGCACCGGCUAACUACGU